RNAcentral lists this non-coding RNA (937 nucleotides) under Plestiodon elegans. RNAcentral's name for it is "12S ribosomal RNA". It matches the Rfam family "Bacterial small subunit ribosomal RNA". Lineage: Eukaryota; Metazoa; Chordata; Lepidosauria; Squamata; Scincidae. The record is from RNAcentral.
AAAGUUUUGGUCCUAAACUUGCCAUUGUUUUUAACCAAAAUUAUACAUGCAAGCCUCCACACACCAGUGAGAAUGCCCACAUACCCUAAACAGCCAACUGGAGCAGGCAUCAGGAUUCAACUCUUCCAUUAGCCAAAGACGCCUUGCUAUGCCACACCCACACGGGCUCUCAGCAGUAAUUAACAUUAAACACAUGAACGAAAGUUCGAAUUAGUUAUGGUUAACACGGUCGGUAAAUUUCGUGCCAGCCACCGCGGUUAUACGAAAGACCAAAAACAACGGCCCACGGCGUAAAGAGUGACUAGAAUAAAUUUAAGCCUAGAGGGGAAAGACCACGAAGUUGUAAAACACUACCGCAUGCCAGAACAACAACAAACGCCUCUAAAACAUCAACCUCACGAAAGCUAAGAGACAAACUGGGAUUAGAUACCCCACUAUGCUUAGCCCUAAACACAAGUAAUACUAAUACAAUACUACUCGCCAGAGAACUACAAGCGAAAAGCUUAAAACUCAAAAGACUUGGCGGUGCUUCAAAUCAACCUAGAGGAGCCUGUCCUAUAAUCGAUACCCCACGUUUUACCUUACCGCCCUUAGACAAUCAGCCUAUAUACCGCCGUCGUAAGCCUACCUUAUGAAAGAAGAAAAGUAGGCAAAAGAGCUAAUAACAAAUACGUCAGGUCAAGGUGUAGCACACAGGACGGCAGAGAUGGGCUACAUUUUCCACAAACAACAUACGAAUAACAUGUUGAAAUAAUAUGCUUGAAGGCGGAUUUAGUAGUAAGAUAGGCUAGAAAACCUAUCUUAAACCUGCUCUGAAGCGCGCACACACCGCCCGUCACCCUCAUCACAUGUUUACAAUAUAAGAUAUAAUACUCAAAGCACCCUCAGAUGAGGCAAGUCGUAACAUGGUAAGUGCACUGGAAAGUGCGCUUGGAAU